Molecule: long non-coding RNA, 612 nt
Filed under: Capra hircus (goat)
Lineage: Eukaryota; Metazoa; Chordata; Mammalia; Artiodactyla; Bovidae
Description: lncRNA (ENSCHIG00000005498.1)
Source: RNAcentral
CUAAACCCAGUUACAGCCUCUGUGUAAACUGAAGUGAGCGAGGAGAUUUACUCAUCCUGUGACCACCCAAGGCAGGCCAGGAUAAAGAGAGGUAUAACUCUGUGAAGUUAAAGGAUGCCUUUGAAAAGCAUACAUACUGGACCAGAAGUGAUGGUGGCGAGAUGGGAUAGAAGAGGCUCGUUUAGCAGAAAGUGAGAAGACCCUCUGCAGGGAAACUGCAUCCCAGUUAGAAGUUGAAGAGGAGAAACAUUUAGAGGUGAAAAGAUCUCUGGCUUAUUUCAUAGAGAAUCACAAAAUAAAAAGACUGCUUGAGAACUGAUGGACUCUGACCCGCAGGUUUACCUCCAGCCUUGAGGCCCUUGGGUUGAUGCAAACUCCAUAAUCUCGCUGUUGGAGAUGCUCUUCACCGAGGAUAGAAACUUGUUUCUAAUUGAAUCAGUCCAGCAAAGGGCAGGCAGGUCAUCCUGACCUAAAUAUUUCCAGUCCGAGUGUUUUCCUUUGAAAUAUUUAUCUAUUUAGGGAAAAGAAGAUGAUGCGUUCUCUGUUCCUUAAAAAGUUCAAACAUGCCUUAAAGCUCUUUACAAAAUAAUCCACAAACUUGUUUUCCGUGGG